CUGGACAUGACUGUGCUCACCCAGGCAGGAAACUGCAUAUCUUCUGGUUUACAUGAAGAUGGAGUGCUAAUGGAAAUGCCCAAAACCUUCAGAGAUUGACACGCUGUCAUUUUCCAUUUCCGUUCCUGGAUCUACGGAGUCUUCUAAGAGAUUUUGCGAUGAGGAGAAGCAUUGUUUUCAAACUAUAUAACUGAGCCUUAUUUAUAAUUAGGGAUAUUAUCAAAAUAUGUAACCAUGAGGCCCCUCAGGUCCUGAUCAGUCAGAAUGGAUGCUUUCACCAGCAGACCCGGCCAUGUGGCUGCUCGGUCCUGGGUGCUCGCUGCUGUGCGAGACAUUAGCCCUUUAGUUAUGAGCCUGUGGGAACUUCAGGGGUUCCCAGUGGGGAGAGCAGUGGCAGUGGGAGGCAUCUGGGGGCCAAAGGUCAGUGGCAGGGGGUAUUUCAGUAUUAUACAACUGCUGUGACCAGACUUGUAUACUGGCUGAAUAUCAGUGCUGUUUGUAAUUUUUCACUUUGAGAACCAACAUUAAUUCCAUAUGAAUCAAGUGUUUUGUAACUGCUAUUCAUUUAUUCAACAAAUAUUUAUUGAUCAUCUCUUCUCCAUAAGAUAGUGUGAUAAACACAGUCAUGAAUAAAGUUAUUUUCCACAAAAGGACUUUGCAGUUUUAACGGGGGGCAGUAGGGCUUGUGCUAUAGAAAUUCAAAGGCAAGGGAAGUCACUUCUGUUGUGGGGCCCUGGGAGGAGCCUCCAGGCUGGAAAGGGUUAAGGUGGAG
Molecule: long non-coding RNA, 772 nt
Filed under: Homo sapiens (human)
Lineage: Eukaryota; Metazoa; Chordata; Mammalia; Primates; Hominidae
Description: HSALNT0275447
Source: RNAcentral